CCUACGGGGCGCAGCAGUGGGGAAUAUUGGACAAUGGGCGAAAGCCUGAUCCAGCCAUGCCGCGUGUGUGAAGAAGGCCUUCGGGUUGUAAAGCACUUUCAGUGGGGAAGAAAGCCUUGGGGCUAAUACCCUCGAGGAAGGACAUCACCCACAGAAGAAGCACCGGCUAACUCCGUGCCAGCAGCCGCGGUAAUACGGAGGGUGCGAGCGUUAAUCGGAAUUACUGGGCGUAAAGCGCGCGUAGGCGGUCUGAUAAGCCGGUUGUGAAAGCCCCGGGCUCAACCUGGGAACGGCAUCCGGAACUGCCAGGCUAGAGUGCAUGAGAGGAAGGUAGAAUUCCCGGUGUAGCGGUGAAAUGCGUAGAGAUCGGGAGGAAUACCAGUGGCGAAGGCGGGCUUCUGGACUGACACUGACGCUGAGGUGCGAAAGCGUGGGUAGCAAACAGGAUUAGAUACCCCUGUAGUC
RNAcentral lists this ribosomal RNA (465 nucleotides) under Vreelandella stevensii. Its description in RNAcentral is "partial 16S ribosomal RNA". It matches the Rfam family "Bacterial small subunit ribosomal RNA", at positions 338 to 795 of the family's 1533-position model. The record is from RNAcentral. Lineage: Bacteria; Pseudomonadati; Pseudomonadota; Gammaproteobacteria; Oceanospirillales; Halomonadaceae.